UACAGAGGGGGCGAGCGUUGUUCGGAAUUACUGGGCGUAAAGGGCGCGUAGGCGGCCUUCUAAGUCGAACGUGAAAUCCCCGGGCUCAACCCGGGAACUGCGUCCGAUACUGGGAGGCUUGAAUCCGGGAGAGGGAUGUGGAAUUCCAGGUGUAGCGGUGAAAUGCGUAGAUAUCUGGAGGAACGCCGGUGGCGAAGGCGGCAUCCUGGACCGGUAUUGACGCUGAGGCGCGAAAGCCAGGGGAGCAAACGGG
This 253-nucleotide ribosomal RNA is filed under the name uncultured bacterium. RNAcentral's name for it is "partial 16S ribosomal RNA". It matches the Rfam family "Bacterial small subunit ribosomal RNA", at positions 524 to 776 of the family's 1533-position model. The record is from RNAcentral.